AAUCAACGCUGGCGGCGUGCCUAACACAUGCAAGUCGAACGAGAAAGGGGAGCAAUCCCUGAGUAAAGUGGCGCACGGGUGAGUAACACGUGACUAACCUACCCUUGAGUGGGGGAUAACUGAGGGAAACCUUAGCUAAUACCGCAUAAUACCUACGGGUCAAAGGAGCAAUUCGCUUAAGGAGGGGGUCGCGGCCGAUUAGUUAGUUGGCGGGGUAAUGGCCCACCAAGACAGUGAUCGGUAUCCGGCCUGAGAGGGCGCACGGACACACUGGAACUGAAACACGGUCCAGACUCCUACGGGAGGCAGCAGUGGGGAAUUUUGCGCAAUGGG
RNAcentral lists this ribosomal RNA (333 nucleotides) under uncultured bacterium. RNAcentral's name for it is "bacterial SSU rRNA". It matches the Rfam family "Bacterial small subunit ribosomal RNA", at positions 32 to 375 of the family's 1533-position model. The record is from RNAcentral.